AAAGUUCAAAUGAAAAUUGCGCUUCACUUCUCUAUCCAUUUCCCUGAAGUUUCUUUCACGCAUUUGCCUGUUUUGUUUGUUGUUUCUCUGUGUGUUGCAGAGUCGGUACAGCUUUCUCUUUCCUUGUAACCCACACUUUGACAAACUCUUCCUGCACUGCACAUAAUCGAAAGUAGUGCUUCUACUUUUUUCACAAUUCAUACGCCAUACCAAUCAAUUAAGCUAAGGUUCUCUUGUUUAACAAAUUCUGCUGCAUUUCUCUCACGGAGGUUCCAUCUGGGUCUCACUCAUGGAAGCAUCAUCACCCAUUUCAAUCCAGCAAACCCCUCUCCAACACCAUCUACCUGAGCCCUCUCCAAAACCUUACAAGAAAAGCUUCGUUACUACUCUAAUGGAGGCUGCCACUCUUCGUACUCCUUCCUUCAAGGAAGACACCUAUUUCAUCUCUCAUCUCAAAUCCUCUGAGAAGAAAGCACUGCAAGAGCUCAGGGACAAACUCUACGCCUCUUAUGAGUCUGAUAGUGAGUGUUCCAUGUGGGGCAUUCCCCUUUUGCAUUGUGAAGAGAAGGCUGACGUGAUACUGUUGAAGUUUCUGCGUGCCAGAGACUUUAGAGUCCCUGAUGCACUUCACAUGCUGGAGAAGUGUUUGUCCUGGAGAAAGGAGUUUGGAGCAGACAGCAUCUGUGAGGAGGAGUUGGGUUUUAAGGAGCUUGAAGGUGUUGUGGCUUAUAUGCAAGCGUAUGACAGGGAAGGACACCCUGUUUGCUACAAUGCUUAUGGGGUCUUCAGAGACAAGGAAAUGUAUGAGAGGAUAUUCGGAGAUGAAGAAAAGCUCAAGAAGUUCCUACGAUGGAGAGUUCAGGUGCUGGAGAGAGGGAUUAAACUUCUGCAUUUUAAGCCUGGUGGGGUUAACUCCAUUAUUCAAGUUACUGAUCUCAAAGACAUGCCCAAAAGAGAACUCAGG
RNAcentral lists this unclassified non-coding RNA (964 nucleotides) under Hevea brasiliensis (rubber tree). Lineage: Eukaryota; Viridiplantae; Streptophyta; Magnoliopsida; Malpighiales; Euphorbiaceae. The record is from RNAcentral.